RNAcentral lists this ribosomal RNA (295 nucleotides) under Thalassiosira rotula. Its description in RNAcentral is "partial Bacterial large subunit ribosomal RNA". It matches the Rfam family "Bacterial large subunit ribosomal RNA", at positions 1191 to 1490 of the family's 2925-position model. The record is from RNAcentral. Lineage: Eukaryota; Bacillariophyta; Thalassiosirophyceae; Thalassiosirales; Thalassiosiraceae.
UCUCCGAAGCUACGGGUAUCACCUUCGGGUGAUGCGGUAGAGGAGCGUUCUGUAAGCCUGUGAAGGUGAGUUGAGAAGCUUGCUGGAGGUAUCAGAAGUGCGAAUGCUGACAUGAGUAACGAUAAUGGGUGUGAAAAACACCCACGCCGAAAGACCAAGGUUUCCUGCGCAACGUUAAUCGACGCAGGGUUAGUCGGUCCCUAAGGCGAGGCUGAAAAGCGUAGUCGAUGGAAAACAGGUUAAUAUUCCUGUACUUCUGGUUAUUGCGAUGGAGGGACGGAGAAGGCUAGGCCAG